UUCGGAUUGUAGGCUGCAACUCGCCUACAUGAAGUCGGAAUUGCUAGUAAUCGCGGAUCAGCAUGCCGCGGUGAAUACGUUCCCGGGCCUUGUACACACCGCCCGUCACACCAUGGGAGUCGGUAACACCCGAAGCCUGUAGUCUAACCGCAAGGAGGACGCAGUCGAAGGUGGGAUUGAUGACUGGGGUGAAGUCGUAACAAGGUACC
Molecule: ribosomal RNA, 209 nt
Filed under: uncultured bacterium
Lineage: Bacteria
Description: partial 16S ribosomal RNA
Rfam family: Bacterial small subunit ribosomal RNA
Source: RNAcentral